UACGUAGGGGGCUAGCGUUGUCCGGAAUCAUUGGGCGUAAAGAGCGUGUAGGCGGUCCGGUAAGUCCGCUGUGAAAGUCGGGGGCUCAACCCUCGAAUGCCGGUGGAUACUGUCGGGCUAGAGUGCGGAAGAGGAGAGUGGAAUUCCUGGUGUAGCGGUGAAAUGCGCAGAUAUCAGGAAGAACACCAAUGGCGAAAGCAGCUCUCUGGGACGGUACUGACGCUGAGGAGCGAAAGCGUGGGGAGCGAACAGG
RNAcentral lists this ribosomal RNA (253 nucleotides) under uncultured bacterium. RNAcentral describes it as "partial 16S ribosomal RNA". It matches the Rfam family "Bacterial small subunit ribosomal RNA", at positions 524 to 776 of the family's 1533-position model. The record is from RNAcentral.